This is a long non-coding RNA of Salvia splendens (bonfire salvia), 690 nucleotides long. RefSeq lists it as uncharacterized. The transcript has 4 exons. NCBI's taxonomy places the organism in Eukaryota, Viridiplantae, Streptophyta, Magnoliopsida, Lamiales, Lamiaceae. The record is from RefSeq and is a predicted model, not a curated record.
GGAAUGUCUUCAAAAGGUGCUGUUUCUCACAAAAAUACAAAAUUGCAAGCAUUUGUAUUUGAAAUUUCAAGCUAUGAAGAUGACAGGAACAGACAAUGCAGAUGUGGAAUCCAGUGAAAAUAAGGUUGAAGGAGAAGAUAGAUGGAGGAGAGUUGAGUGUUUAAGAGGAAGAUUGCUUGCUGAGGGAAUGGCUUCCAAAAAUGCUAGGGAGGAGGCACACCAACUGGGGAUUAUGCUGGUGGAAAUGGAAAGCUGAGAAGAAGCUGAAAUUGGUGAUGAAAUUGUGGGUAAAUACGAGGAAUUGAAUGAAAGAUCACAAGUGAAUUCAUGGAGUGUGAGGGGAUCGAUCAGUAGAGGAGGAUCCUUAUUCUUCAACUUCAAGAACGGAAUCAGCAUCCGGUGUUGGUGUUGGUGUUGGUGUUGGUGUUGGUGUUGGUGUUGAAGAAGGCGUGGAUGAUUCGAUGGCUAUAAAGAGAGAGAAACGAGGGUGGAACAAGUGCUGGAAUCGUUGAGGCGUGCUAAAGAGCAGCUUCAGAGCUCAAUGGAGGGAAGGCGCAUGGGCAUAAGCAUGAUUAAAGUUGGCUAGAUUACACUUCAAUCAUCAUUAUUAUCAACAACUUUAUUCAUAUCAAUCAUACACCAUAAUAUCUUUAUUAUCCUUCCGAGUACCAUGAAAGCAUUUAAUGGGCA